This is a long non-coding RNA of Carassius gibelio (silver crucian carp), 499 nucleotides long. RefSeq lists it as uncharacterized. NCBI's taxonomy places the organism in Eukaryota, Metazoa, Chordata, Actinopteri, Cypriniformes, Cyprinidae. The transcript has 4 exons. The record is from RefSeq and is a predicted model, not a curated record.
UCAGGAGAGAUGCGCCACCGAUGUAAAGGACAUCAAGAUCCUGGUAGCUGGAGAAAUUGGAGCCGGAAAAUCCAGCUUUAUUAAUUCAGUCAAUGCCGCCUUUCAGGGACGGAUCUCCUCUAGAGCACUAGUUAAUGCAGCUGAUGGUUACAGUCAUAGUUUCACUCAAAAGGGAUUUCUCAAGUGGUUGUCAUGACUAAAAUGGAUGAAGCAUGUCCAUUGGUCCAAAAAGAUCUGCAGCAAGAAAAUCAAGGAGAAGAUGGAGUUGUGCAGUGCAAAAUUAGGUUUGCCACUGACAAACAUAUUCCCUGUGAAGAACUACCACAAUGAGAUUGACACAGAUGACAACAUUGACGUUCUGUUACUAAAGGCUCUUGAACAGAUUGUUCAGCUUGCUGAUGAUCGAUUGGAGGAUACUGAUAGCUACUGACACAAAGUAAUUUCUGCAUUUCCCAGUGUAGCUUUCUAAUAAACCUGUCUUUGCUCACCAUGAAUAUUG